RNAcentral lists this ribosomal RNA (380 nucleotides) under uncultured Planktothricoides sp. RNAcentral describes it as "bacterial SSU rRNA". It matches the Rfam family "Bacterial small subunit ribosomal RNA", at positions 376 to 770 of the family's 1533-position model. The record is from RNAcentral. Lineage: Bacteria; Bacillati; Cyanobacteriota; Cyanophyceae; Oscillatoriales; Oscillatoriaceae.
CGAAAGCCUGACGGAGCAAGACCGCGUGGGGGAUGAAGGCUCUUGGGUUGUAAACCCCUUUUCUCAGGGAAGAAGUUCUGACGGUACCUGAGGAAUCAGCAUCGGCUAACUCCGUGCCAGCAGCCGCGGUAAUACGGAGGAUGCAAGCGUUAUCCGGAAUUAUUGGGCGUAAAGCGUCCGCAGGUGGCUCGCUCAAGUCUGCUGUCAAAGACCGGGGCUUAACUCCGGAAAGGCAGUGGAAACUGACAAGCUAGAGGGCUCUAGGGGUAGAGGGAAUUCCCGGUGUAGCGGUGAAAUGCGUAGAGAUCGGGAAGAACACCCGUGGCGAAAGCGCUCUGCUGGACUGCAACUGACAUUGAGGGACGAAAGCUAGGGGAGCG